AAAAAAGGUAAGCUACUAAGAGCGAAUGGUGGAUGCCUUGACUGGUAAAGGCGAUGAAGGACGUACUAGACUGCGAUAAGCUACGGGGAGCUGUCAAGAAGCUUUGAUCCGUAGAUUUCCGAAUGGGGCAACCCAAUGUAUAGAGAUAUACAUUACCUAUAUAGGAGCGAACGAGGGGAAUUGAAACAUCUUAGUACUCUCAGGAAAAGAAAUCAAUAGAGAUUGCGUCAGUAGCGGCGAGCGAAAGCGCAAGAGGGCAAACCCAGUGCUUGCACUGGGGGUUGUAGGACUGCAAUAUGCAAGAGGUAAGUUUAGCAGAACAUUCUGGAAAGUAUAACCAUAGAGGGUGAUAGUCCCGUAUGCGAAAAACAAACCUUAGCUAGCAGUAUCCUGAGUAGGGCGGGACACGAGGAAUCCUGUCUGAAUCCGGGUCGACCACGAUCCAACCCUAAAUACUAAUACCAGAUCGAUAGUGCACAAGUACCGUGAGGGAAAGGUGAAAAGAACUGAGGUGAUCAGAGUGAAAUAGAACCUGAAACCAUUUGCUUACAAUCAUUCAGAGCCCUAUGUAGCAAUACAGGGUGAUGGACUGCCUUUUGCAUAAUGAGCCUGCGAGUUGUGGUGUCUGGCAAGGUUAAGCAAACGCGAAGCCGUAGCGAAAGCGAGUCUGAAUAGGGCGCUUAGUCAGAUGCUGCAGACCCGAAACGAAGUGAUCUAUCCAUGAGCAAGUUGAAGCUAGUGUAAGAACUAGUGGAGGACUGAACCCAUAGGCGUUGAAAAGCCCCGGGAUGACUUGUGGAUAGGGGUGAAAGGCCAAUCAAACUUCGUGAUAGCUGGUUCUCUCCGAAAUAUAUUUAGGUAUAGCGUUGUGUCGUAAUAUAAGGGGGUAGAGCACUGAAUGGGCUAGGGCAUACACCAAUGUACCAAACCCUAUCAAACUCCGAAUACCUUAUAUGUAAUCACAGCAGUCAGGCGGCGAGUGAUAAAAUCCGUCGUCAAGAGGGAAACAACCCAGACUACCAGCUAAGGUCCCUAAGUCUUACUUAAGUGGAAAACGAUGUGAAGUUACUUAAACAACCAGGAGGUUGGCUUAGAAGCAGCCAUCCUUUAAAGAAAGCGUAAUAGCUCACUGGUCUAGUGAUUUUGCGCGGAAAAUAUAACGGGGCUAAAGUAAGUACCGAAGCUGUAGACUUGCGCACAACUUAGAUUAUUUAAGUUUAGAAUAUGAGAAACUAAGUUAUGUUUAGUUAUAUUUUUACUGAUUUUUAUAGAGUAAAGAUAGAAAUAAAACUUAGUAAAAUCAGUAAAAAUAUUCUUAGGCUAAAGUUAAGUAGUUUAAGUUGUGUGCAAGUGGUAGGAGAGCGUUCUAUUUGCGUCGAAGGUAUACCGGUAAGGAGUGCUGGAGCGAAUAGAAGUGAGCAUGCAGGCAUGAGUAGCGAUAAUUAAUGUGAGAAUCAUUAACGCCGUAAACCCAAGGUUUCCUACGCGAUGCUCGUCAUCGUAGGGUUAGUCGGGUCCUAAGUCGAGUCCGAAAGGGGUAGACGAUGGCAAAUUGGUUAAUAUUCCAAUACCAACAUUAGUGUGCGAUGGAAGGACGCUUAGGGCUAAGGGGGCUAGCGGAUGGAAGUGCUAGUCUAAGGUCGUAGGAGGUUAUACAGGCAAAUCCGUAUAACAAUACUCCGAGAACUGAAAGGCUUUUUGAAGUCUUCGGAUGGAUAGAAGAACCCCUGAUGCCGUCGAGCCAAGAAAAGUUUCUAAGUUUAGCUAAUGUUGCCCGUACCGUAAACCGACACAGGUGGGUGGGAUGAGUAUUCUAAGGCGCGUGGAAGAACUCUCUUUAAGGAACUCUGCAAAAUAGCACCGUAUCUUC
This 1870-nucleotide ribosomal RNA is filed under the name Campylobacter jejuni. Its description in RNAcentral is "partial 23S ribosomal RNA". It matches the Rfam family "Bacterial large subunit ribosomal RNA", at positions 1 to 1737 of the family's 2925-position model. The record is from RNAcentral. Lineage: Bacteria; Pseudomonadati; Campylobacterota; Epsilonproteobacteria; Campylobacterales; Campylobacteraceae.